AUAAAAAUAAGCUAAUUUACAAAAGCUUGUGAACUCAUACUUCAUAAAUAAAGUCUACUUUUUUUUAUA
RNAcentral lists this transfer RNA (69 nucleotides) under Plectrocnemia tsukuiensis. Its description in RNAcentral is "tRNA-Met". The record is from RNAcentral. Lineage: Eukaryota; Metazoa; Arthropoda; Insecta; Trichoptera; Polycentropodidae.